Molecule: long non-coding RNA, 1921 nt
Organism: Gallus gallus (chicken)
Lineage: Eukaryota; Metazoa; Chordata; Aves; Galliformes; Phasianidae
Source: Ensembl
AGGGAGACGUGAUGCCUUCAGUCCAGCUGCUCUUAUUUCUGACUUCCAGUGCCUGCAUAGCUGGUUUGGUUUUGUAGUUUAUGCCCACUCCCAGGGCACGCUGAUUGCUUGGGCAAUUCCCCAUCUUAGCUUAUUUGUCUUUUUGGUGGGCUGCCACAAGGGGCAACACUGUAGGGCUGUGUGAAACAGCCUCUGUACUGGGGACCUUCUCCCUAGAGAUACUCAGCCCUAUCUACCUCCAGUGUGAUGUGAGGAUGACAUUUUACUAUUUGUCAUCUCGUUAUAACUAGAGGAAAGCAAAUUUACUGUGAGUGUACUAUGUUGGUAUCAACUGAAAGCAGUGAGUUCAUAUAAAUUGUCCAUCUCUGAGAAAAUAACUAUUUAUUUGAGCAGGAAGAAGGAUGAUGUGCUUUCUCUUUCUCUCCUGGCAUGUCUUGGGAUCAGCUGGCUAUGGUAAGUGAGGGUUACUUAAAGAUAAAGUAAUGGACAAUCAAAUUCCACAGAAUUGAGCAAAUCUGGUGCACCUACUGCUAGUUUUUUCCAUUGCUCACUUCAGUAUGCUUGAGUUAAAAAAACUCAGGCAAAUAACCUGCUUGUAUCAAAGCGAGUGCUGUAAGCCCUACUAAUUCCCAUAGGUAUAAUAGACAGUAGCCAUAGAAAUGAAUUGCAACUAAAACUGGGAAGAAAUAAAUUGGUCCUUAGUUCUUGAAUUUCUUGCUUUCUUAGUUUCUAACAUCUCUGGAUGUUAGAGUACUCAGCUCUACAAACAGACAUGAUAUCUCAUGUAAAACAAGCAUGUGACGCCUCUUGUGUCAUUUCUGAAAAUGUUAGUUGAGGACAAAAGUGGACUAAGAACGGAGCUUAGAUGGUAUCCAUCUCUAUAGCAGUGGCCAUGGCUAAUCCAAGCUAGGUGUCUGGAGUCCCUAGUUGAUUGGGAAGCCAAGAUGGGUCUAGAAGCCUAUUCAUUCUAAAUCAAGGUAAAUAUUUAAGAAGACUGAAUUUUCUUUUGUGGAGACCCAUUUCUCUCCACUGACUGAAAGACUCCGCAUGACUAGCUUAGAUAACAAUUUUCCAGGCAGCUAAAAUUAGAGAUGAAUCCCACCCAUUAUACAGAGUAUACCUAACAUGAAAGGAAUGACUGAUUAUGUUCUUCAAUAUUAAAUAGAUCUCAAGGCAGAUCUGUUUAAACCGACUGACUGCAUUCUUCUCAAAUAGCAUUACGUGAAUAUUGCCAGUAUAGAAAGGGAAGUAUUAAUGUCACGUACAAAAAGACGUGAGAAAAAAUGAGAGGGUUUAUAAUGUUGUUCCACUAAAACAGGGUAGGUAAACAGCAGAAAGGGAAAAGAAUAAUCUGGACUAAUUCAGGGGUUUAUCGUAUUUUACUGAGAUCUUUCUUCAAAUUUCCAGCCCACUUCCAAAAAGUGCUGUAACUUUUUAGUUGGAUACUGAGUGCAGAGCUUGUAAGAAUUUCUUGGUAGCACAGGAAGAUCUGAAAUGUCACUGGUGUUUUGUCUGAUGUAUCAUACCAAAGCCGUGUAUGUGUUGGUGUCUUCCAACUCCUAUUACCUGGGUACUUAAAUAGAAAAUUAUCUCUUUAUUUCAAACAACUGUAUUCCAGUAAGACUGCAUUAUCAUCAUCAUCAUCAUCAUCAUUUGCUUCCCAGCUUCAUGGCAUCAUGAAGACUCCCAGCUCUUAGCUGCCAGAAAUGAAGGCUCUCAGCCUCCCCAAUCAGACCAUAAGGGCUUUUCUCAACCUCACCUUUCGGCUGUUCAAACCUACUGAUGUUCUUUUCAUCCUUACUAUAUUAGAUCUACGAGAUAAUUGGGGCAGAGCGCAGGAAGAGAAAAAACAUAAUUCAGAAACCAUUCAGAGCAAUGGAUGUUUUGAAACAGCAAGGUGACAAAUUGUCUGGGAUAAACU